UACGGGGGGAGCAAGCGUUGUUCGGAUUUACUGGGCGUAAAGGGCGCGUAGGCGGUCAGCACAAGUCAGUUGUGAAAUCUCCGGGCUUAACUCGGAAAGGUCAACUGAUACUGUGCGACUAGAGUGCGGAAGGGGCAACUGGAAUUCUCGGUGUAGCGGUGAAAUGCGUAGAUAUCGAGAGGAACACCUGCGGCGAAGGCGGGUUGCUGGGCCGACACUGACACUGAGAGACGAAAGCUAGGGGAGCAAAUGGG
Molecule: ribosomal RNA, 254 nt
Filed under: uncultured bacterium
Lineage: Bacteria
Description: partial 16S ribosomal RNA
Rfam family: Bacterial small subunit ribosomal RNA
Source: RNAcentral